Molecule: ribosomal RNA, 464 nt
Filed under: Salmonella enterica
Lineage: Bacteria; Pseudomonadati; Pseudomonadota; Gammaproteobacteria; Enterobacterales; Enterobacteriaceae
Also listed under: 1 other name
Description: bacterial SSU rRNA
Rfam family: Bacterial small subunit ribosomal RNA
Source: RNAcentral
AAAUUGAAGAGUUUGAUCAUGGCUCAGAUUGAACGCUGGCGGCAGGCCUAACACAUGCAAGUCGAACGGUAACAGGAAGCAGCUUGCUGCUUCGCUGACGAGUGGCGGACGGGUGAGUAAUGUCUGGGAAACUGCCUGAUGGAGGGGGAUAACUACUGGAAACGGUGGCUAAUACCGCAUAACGUCGCAAGACCAAAGAGGGGGACCUUCGGGCCUCUUGCCAUCAGAUGUGCCCAGAUGGGAUUAGCUGGUUGGUGAGGUAACGGCUCACCAAGGCGACGAUCCCUAGCUGGUCUGAGAGGAUGACCAGCCACACUGGAACUGAGACACGGUCCAGACUCCUACGGGAGGCAGCAGUGGGGAAUAUUGCACAAUGGGCGCAAGCCUGAUGCAGCCAUGCCGCGUGUAUGAAGAAGGCCUUCGGGUUGUAAAGUACUUUCAGCGGGGAGGAAGGUGUUGUGGUU